This 269-nucleotide long non-coding RNA is filed under the name Gossypium raimondii (Peruvian cotton). RNAcentral's name for it is "long non-coding RNA (GRAI_LNC001607)". Lineage: Eukaryota; Viridiplantae; Streptophyta; Magnoliopsida; Malvales; Malvaceae. The record is from RNAcentral.
AAGAGAAAGGGACAGAGGGACGGGCGAGAGAGAAGGGGGAAAAGUAAGGGGAAAGGGGAAGGGGCAAGGGUGUGGGGGUGACGAAGUAGGAGGGCUAAGACGGUGAACUGUGGUCUGUGGCAUUAGGAUGGUGAGGAGUGGCGGCUAGGGUUUGUUUUUGGAAGAUUGGGAGGAAGAAGACAAAGUGAAAGAGAAUUAAUUUAGGGUUUAGGUUAAAAAGGGUGACACGGUCUUGUAAAAGGCCAUGUUAGGCCACACGACUGUGUCAC